GAUGAACGCCGGCGGUGUGCCUAAUACAUGCAAGUCGAACGCGUUGGCCCAAUUGAUUGAUGGUGCUUGCACCUGAUUGAUUUUGGUCGCCAACGAGUGGCGGACGGGUGAGUAACACGUAGGUAACCUGCCCAGAAGCGGGGGACAACAUUUGGAAACAGAUGCUAAUACCGCAUAACAGCGUUGUUCGCAUGAACAACGUUUAAAAGAUGGCUUCUCGCUAUCACUUCUGGAUGGACCUGCGGUGCAUUAGCUUGUUGGUGGGGUAACGGCCUACCAAGGCGAUGAUGCAUAGCCGAGUUGAGAGACUGAUCGGCCACAAUGGGACUGAGACACGGCCCAUACUCCUACGGGAGGCAGCAGUAGGGAAUCUUCCACAAUGGGCGCAAGCCUGAUGGAGCAACACCGCGUGAGUGAAGAAGGGUUUCGGCUCGUAAAGCUCUGUUGUUAAAGAAGAACACGUAUGAGAGUAACUGUUCAUACGUUGACGGUAUUUAACCAGAAAGUCACGGCUAACUACGUGCCAACAGCCGCGGUAAUACGUAGGUGGCAAGCGUUAUCCGGAUUUAUUGGGCGUAAAGAGAGUGCAGGCGGUUUUCUAAGUCUGAUGUGAAAGCUUUCGGCUUAACCGGAGAAGUGCAUCGGAAACUGGAUAACUUGAGUGCAGAAGAGGGUAGUGGAACUCCAUGUGUAGCGGUGGAAUGCGUAGAUAUAUGGAGGAACACCGGUGGCGAAAGCGGCUCUCUGGUCUGUAACUGACGCUGAGGCUCGAAAGCGUGGGGAGCGAACAGG
This 792-nucleotide ribosomal RNA is filed under the name uncultured Lactobacillus sp. RNAcentral describes it as "bacterial SSU rRNA". It matches the Rfam family "Bacterial small subunit ribosomal RNA", at positions 28 to 776 of the family's 1533-position model. Lineage: Bacteria; Bacillati; Bacillota; Bacilli; Lactobacillales; Lactobacillaceae. The record is from RNAcentral.